RNAcentral lists this ribosomal RNA (147 nucleotides) under Triticum aestivum (bread wheat). RNAcentral's name for it is "partial small subunit ribosomal RNA". Lineage: Eukaryota; Viridiplantae; Streptophyta; Magnoliopsida; Poales; Poaceae. The record is from RNAcentral.
GACCCAUCAUUUUGCAAUGAAAACAACAUAUAAAACUUUGGACAAUGUUGAAAUCAGGCCAAACGUCGUAAUACAUAUGCAAAAAAAUUCAUUGUUGGCCCACCAUUGACGAGAAGAUUUAGCUUGUAUGAAUCACUAUUGGUUUGA